AGACGAACGCUGGCGGCGUGCCUAAUACAUGCAAGUCGAGCGGACAGAAGGGAGCUUGCUCCCGGAUGUUAGCGGCGGACGGGUGAGUAACACGUGGGUAACCUGCCUGUAAGACUGGGAUAACUCCGGGAAACCGGAGCUAAUACCGGAUAGUUCCUUGAACCGCAUGGUUCAAGGAUGAAAGACGGUUUCGGCUGUCACUUACAGAUGGACCCGCGGCGCAUUAGCUAGUUGGUGGGGUAAUGGCUCACCAAGGCGACGAUGCGUAGCCGACCUGAGAGGGUGAUCGGCCACACUGGGACUGAGACACGGCCCAGACUCCUACGGGAGGCAGCAGUAGGGAAUCUUCCGCAAUGGACGAAAGUCUGACGGAGCAACGCCGCGUGAGUGAUGAAGGUUUUCGGAUCGUAAAGCUCUGUUGUUAGGGAAGAACAAGUGCGAGAGUAACUGCUCGCACCUUGACGGUACCUAACCAGAAAGCCACGGCUAACUACGUGCCAGCAGCCGCGGUAAUACGUAGGUGGCAAGCGUUGUCCGGAAUUAUUGGGCGUAAAGGGCUCGCAGGCGGUUUCUUAAGUCUGAUGUGAAAGCCCCCGGCUCAACCGGGGAGGGUCAUUGGAAACUGGGAAACUUGAGUGCAGAAGAGGAGAGUGGAAUUCCACGUGUAGCGGUGAAAUGCGUAGAGAUGUGGAGGAACACCAGUGGCGAAGGCGACUCUCUGGUCUGUAACUGACGCUGAGGAGCGAAA
Molecule: ribosomal RNA, 748 nt
Filed under: Bacillus pumilus
Lineage: Bacteria; Bacillati; Bacillota; Bacilli; Caryophanales; Bacillaceae
Description: bacterial SSU rRNA
Rfam family: Bacterial small subunit ribosomal RNA
Source: RNAcentral